AGAGGAGCUAAGUGGUAGAGAAAUGGAAGAGAAAGAUAAAAAGGAUGUAGAUAUGAUGAAGAGAGGCAGAAUUGGAGGUUCAAGAGUAGUGAAGAACAGUCUAAUAUGAGUAGCUCUUGUUGCCACCCAGGACCGUGGUGGAGUCUGGCCUGUGCUGCUACCAGGAGCCAUUUUUGAAUCUGUGGUCCUGAAGCAUCAGGGGUCUGUUCCCCACAAAGGCCAGGCAGAUGUUCCUGAUCUUGGCUUUUGCCCAGAGACAUGUUGAUGUCUGAGGGCUAUACAGAACUGACCCCACCCUCACCUGGGCAUCAUGGGAGAGUUGGCCCUAGGGGCAUGAGAGCAGAAGAGAUGACCUUGUCCUUUUACAGCUGCAGAAACUGAGAAAAGGCUCUGCACCUUCCGUGGGCAUCAGAGUAGAGCCGACCUUGGUGGAGGGGAUGUGAGAAAGUUGGCCCUGAAGAUGAAUUUGAAUCCUGCAACAUGGCUGCUCUUUCAAAUGAUCACAUCCAAAAAUUUUCUAGUUCUGUAUGAUCUGACCAGAAUGCAAACAUGCCCUGGAUUCCAUAUAGUAUGAUCUGACUGGGAUACAGCAUGCACAGAAUCUUUCAGAAUUAUGAAAGGUAACCCACAGAACUGAAACUUCCAAGUGAGUACCAGCUUCAUUUCUCUACUUCCUGUGCCUCAAGCACAUGGUAACUUCAACUACACAAGAGUAUGCUCCGUCUAUGUUCUGCAUCCAGAGUCUCCCUUUAAAGAAGCAAUGAUGUGGAUUUAUUUUGCAUAACUCUGGAGUAGCUGAGAAUAUGGCUUUUAUCCCUCUAAACAUUGGAGUUCCACAGUCAGCCAUAAAAUUAUGAGACUACCAGUUGACCUGUUCGUCUUCAAAGGACCCACCCUUCAUGAAGAGCUACAAACUUUGGGUCCUGGGAGAGGAAGAAUCAGUGUUUUCUAG
This 952-nucleotide long non-coding RNA is filed under the name Mus musculus (house mouse). RNAcentral's name for it is "predicted gene, 41815". The record is from RNAcentral. Lineage: Eukaryota; Metazoa; Chordata; Mammalia; Rodentia; Muridae.